This is a long non-coding RNA of Struthio camelus australis, 1609 nucleotides long. NCBI's taxonomy places the organism in Eukaryota, Metazoa, Chordata, Aves, Struthioniformes, Struthionidae. The record is from Ensembl.
GCUUAGUCCUGAUUAAGAAAUAGUAACAAGCCACAUGCUUAUUUAUAGCCUUGUAAAAAGCAGAGCUGGCAACCUCCGUGUCUAAAUGAAACACAAGUUUCACAGUGUGAAGAAGAAUGUAUGCAAGUGGAGGAAGUAUUACCAAGAGGUAAUGAUAAGCUUGUGACUUGUUUUCUAUUUAAGUACUGGAAGAACUAUUAAAACAAAUCCCAUUUAUUGUAUGGACAGAAGACAGCUCCGACUCACUCCGCCCAAGGAAAAAAGCAUAGGAUCGUGGUAGUCUAAAUCCUUCAGAAGCAGCGUUAAAGUCAGUUAUGAAUCCUAAGUUAAGAAUCACAGGAAAUUCUUGGAAGAGAAAGGUCUGAAUAAAACAUUGGGGACAGCUUGGAUAUGCACAUCCCAACUCAAGAUCCCCUUCAAUGAAAGCUAAACCCAGGACAAGCAUUUCGUUUAUGGAUCUCUGCCACAAAGCUAUGACACCAUCUGCCAGCUGGAAAGCAGGAAGACACAGAGAAAAUCUCAGAGCUCCUCUCAAGCAUAGCGAGCAAUUCUCAUAUGAUGUGGGGCUUGAAAUCUGAUCACAGCUUUCCAGUUGACGGUGUACAAGAGUGUGGCUAAGUUACCAGUUGCCCAGGAAAUAAGCAGCCAAACUUCUUGACUUUCACUCAUCUAAACGUAAGAUGUUGCAGAAUCUUGGGGACUGAACGCAAAACUCUCUUUAUGGGAACUUAAAGAGGAAUCAAGAGUCUCUUAGUUUGAAAAUGAGAGGGGUUUGCCUACUAUGCUUAAUAGAAAGUUUCACUAAAAAUUACUUGCGUAUGAUGUUGAUGCUUUAUCUGAGUAUUUUUAAGGCUCUCAUGCUUUGACUGUUGGAUCCUAAAUCUGAAAUACGAGUUUGUUCCACCUUGUGUAGUGGGAGUUCAUCCUGACAUGGGAAGCAAGGUGUUAGAAAUCUAGUUUUGAAAUUCAAGCUUUUAACAUGGUAUAUUUACACAGUACAUUGCAGGAAGAGGUGAGUUUAUUCUCUUGGUCUUGUGAAAAGGCCAAAAGCCAUGCGCAUAUUUGCAACAAGUUGCAUUCAAGCUAGUAAGCCCGUGGAGAGGUAUUUUCUUUGUACUGCUCAGUUUUCCCUGCUCAUUUUAGUCCCAAGUUCACUAAUUUAGCCACUGUAUGAAUGAAUUUCAGAUGAGAUAGAUAGAAUAUCCUGCCUAUUGGGUAUGUUAACUCAGUCGCAGGGCUUUGGAUCCGUAUGAUCAUUGUCCCAUGGUUUCUUAUGGAUUUAAGAGUGAGCAAAGCAAAGCUAGCUUGCUCACAGUUAUAGAGAAUAUACCAGGCUGGUGCAGAUCUGAGUUUGUGACAUGUUUUGUAACUAAGCUGGAAUAAUGGCUCAAUGGAAAAAUCUACGGAAUACCAUCCUUAUGUUUUCAUAUUUUAAUUGCUGCUUGUAAAGUGCAGCAACAUUGCCAGUAGUAAGCAGCUAUAUAUAUAUACUGCAUCUCAGUCUUCUCCACCAAGUAGAAAACCUGUGAGGCAGAGUCUCUGCAGAGACUAUACAGUAAUUAUACUAAAGUUAGUAUAUGGCAGGAGACUUUCCUUAGAACUGCCUUUA